Molecule: unclassified non-coding RNA, 733 nt
Filed under: Hevea brasiliensis (rubber tree)
Lineage: Eukaryota; Viridiplantae; Streptophyta; Magnoliopsida; Malpighiales; Euphorbiaceae
Source: RNAcentral
AUGUCUCAACGUUUCUCUAUUCACAGCGACUCUUCCCAAAAAUAACACUCCUCUUAUCCACUCCUACUGUAACUGCUUUUCCACUUCCUUUCCCGGCGAUAAUGGCCGUUUCGGGCAACGAGUCACCACUACUCGCCGGAGAAACAGCAAGUCGGAGAUUUUUCUCGGCGACGAAGAGGAAGUCCAAGCAGGAGAAAACGAGAAAUUUUCCAGCAUAGCUGAAGAAACAUCUAGGGCUAUGAGAUUGAGGAGGUCUAAAGGUGUUGUAGACACAGAGGAGGAAGAAGAAGAGGACGAUUCGUCGAUGUUGCUAUCUCUGAGUGUGAAACCAGACCGAAACAUGGCUUUACUUGAUGAUUAUGAAAUGGAGGAGCUCGAUUUUGUUCCUGAAAAUCCUAAUCAUCGCAGUGGAUAUGUAGCUGUGCUUGGGAAGCCGAAUGUUGGGAAAAGUACACUUUCCAAUCAAAUGGUUGGGCAGAAACUGUCAAUUGUUACUGAUAAACCUCAAACUACUCGUCAUCGAGUUCUUGGAAUAUGUUCUGGUCCAGAUCAUCAGAUGAUACUUUAUGACACUCCCGGUGUCAUAGAGAAGAAAAUGCAUAAGCUAGAUACAAUGAUGAUGAAGAAUGUCCGAAGUGCAGCUGUUAAUGCAGACUGCGUGCUUGUUGUUGUGGACGCAUGUAAGGUUCCUGCAAAGAUAGAUGAAGUGUUGGAAGAGGGUGUUGGAGACCUA